AUCUAAAUAGUUUCGAUAGGGUUCAAAAUCCCCCGCUGGUGACAGCGUGCCGGUUCGAGUCCGGCCUUGGGUACCA
This 76-nucleotide transfer RNA is filed under the name Tritonibacter mobilis. RNAcentral's name for it is "tRNA-Thr". The record is from RNAcentral. Lineage: Bacteria; Pseudomonadati; Pseudomonadota; Alphaproteobacteria; Rhodobacterales; Paracoccaceae.